CUAUAAUGCAAGUCGAGCGAACAGAUAAGGAGCUUGCUCCUUUGACGUUAGCGGCGGACGGGUGAGUAACACGUGGGUAACCUACCUAUAAGACUGGGAUAACUUCGGGAAACCGGAGCUAAUACCGGAUAACAUUUGGAACCGCAUGGUUCUAAAGUGAAAGAUGGUUUUGCUAUCACUUAUAGAUGGACCCGCGCCGUAUUAGCUAGUUGGUAAGGUAACGGCUUACCAAGGCGACGAUACGUAGCCGACCUGAGAGGGUGAUCGGCCACACUGGAACUGAGACACGGUCCAGACUCCUACGGGAGGCAGCAGUAGGGAAUCUUCCGCAAUGGGCGAAAGCCUGACGGAGCAACGCCGCGUGAGUGAUGAAGGGUUUCGGCUCGUAAAACUCUGUUAUUAGGGAAGAACAAAUGUGUAAGUAACUGUGCACGUCUUGACGGUACCUAAUCAGAAAGCCACGGCUAACUACGUGCCAGCAGCCGCGGUAAUACGUAGGUGGCAAGCGUUAUCCGGAAUUAUUGGGCGUAAAGCGCGCGUAGGCGGUUUCUUAAGUCUGAUGUGAAAGCCCACGGCUCAACCGUGGAGGGUCAUUGGAAACUGGGAAACUUGAGUGCAGAAGAGGAAAGUGGAAUUCCAUGUGUAGCGGUGAAAUGCGCAGAGAUAUGGAGGAACACCAGUGGCGAAGGCGACUUUCUGGUCUGUAACUGACGCUGAUGUGCGAAAGCGUGGGGAUCAAACAGGAUUAGAUACCCUGGUAGUCCACGCCGUAAACGAUGAGUGCUAAGUGUUAGGGGG
Molecule: ribosomal RNA, 798 nt
Filed under: Staphylococcus sp. B24-PCA-PT2P21
Lineage: Bacteria; Bacillati; Bacillota; Bacilli; Caryophanales; Staphylococcaceae
Description: bacterial SSU rRNA
Rfam family: Bacterial small subunit ribosomal RNA
Source: RNAcentral